This 520-nucleotide unclassified non-coding RNA is filed under the name uncultured Glomus. RNAcentral's name for it is "SSU rRNA". It matches the Rfam family "Eukaryotic small subunit ribosomal RNA", at positions 569 to 1090 of the family's 1831-position model. The record is from RNAcentral. Lineage: Eukaryota; Fungi; Glomeromycota; Glomeromycetes; Glomerales; Glomeraceae.
AGCAGCCGCGGUAAUUCCAGCUCCAAUAGCGUAUAUUAAAGUUGUUGCAGUUAAAAAGCUCGUAGUUGAAUUUCGGGGUUAGUAGGUUGGUCAUGCCUCUGGUAUGUACUGGUCUCACUGAUUCCUCCUUCCUGAUGAGCCGUAAUGCCAUUAAUUUGGUGUUGCGGGGAAUUUGGACUGUUACUUUGAAAAAUUAGAGUGUUUAAAGCAAGCUAACGCUUGAAUACAUUAGCAUGGAAUAAUGAAAUAGGACGUUCGAUCCUAUUUUGUUGGUUUCUAGGAUUGACGUAAUGAUUAAUAGGGAUAGUUGGGGGCAUUAGUAUUCAAUUGUCAGAGGUGAAAUUCUUGGAUUUAUUGAAGACUAACUACUGCGAAAGCAUUUGCCAAGGAUGUUUUCAUUAAUCAAGAACGAAAGUUAGGGAUCGAAGACGAUCAGAUACCGUCGUAGUCUUAACCAUAAACUAUGCCGACUAGGGAUCGGAUGAUGUUUAAUUUUUUAAUGUACUCAUUCGGCGCCUUA